CGAGCGCAGCGCGUUGCAACCCGGCUGAGCCUGGCGAGAGCAAGCGGCGCGGCGGGCGUCGGCGGCGGGGCGCUCGGGGCCGGAGGAGCUGAGCGCGGUCAGGGGCUGAACCCCGCUUUCCCAGACGAACUACCACUCCGCUUGCCCACGUCCCGGGAGAUCGCAGGGCCCGUCAGUGUGCCACCGACCUCUCCGGCCGCUGCGCUUCUGGCCCGCGAGGCGUGCCACUGUCUUGGCUACCGACCGGGAGGUAAGAGGGCCGGGCUCGGCGCGCCAGGGCUGCGCGUACUGCCCAGCCUCAGAGGGGAGGGCAGACUGGGGGUUCGGCGCCUCCACCAGUGAUAGGGAAAACGUUACCCGUCAUUGGCUUCUGUUUGUCCACUCAGUGCUGUGCGGUCCGCCUCUGUCUGUCUGUCCACGUGUCUGUUGAGGGGCACACGUCCUUGUCUCUGUCCGCUGUGGGAUUUCUCUGAGAUCGUGUGAGCCUUUGCAAGCAGCAGGUGUCAGGGGCUCCAGUGUCCCCGGAGCGCAUCCAGCCGGGGGCAGAUACCGGUUUUCCUUAGAGUUUCCCCGUUCUGAAUGUCUCGGGGGGCCUUGCGCCCCAAACAGUGUCUUGCCGAGGAGGGACUGCUCCGAGGGUCAGGUCGCGGAGUCCAGCCCACAAGGAGCCAGCUCACACUGUGCAUGAGCGGGCAUGCAUCUGGCAACAGGUCUGCGCCCUGCUGCUCGGCCUUCAGCACGGUCUUCCUUCUGGUUUUCCCCUCCGCUCCCCGCUGGCCUAUACGGUCGCGCACUCCCCUACGGCGCUAGGCACCCAGCAUCGCUCCGGCACGCGACGGGUGGAGGCGAUUGAAUGUUAGAUGACACGAGGGCCCCUACUGCUGUUUAGGCUGAGAUCCCCAACCUGCCAUCGCUGCAAGAGGGUUCGGCGGUCCCUGGCAAGGGUCGUCAGCUCCAAGAAAGGUCAUAUUAGGUUGGGAAGAAAGUCAGGGACCUGGUGGAGCGCAGGCCAGGGCCGUGGCCAGGUCUCCAGCUCGCCGCUCUGGGAACCAGCGCCAGAGACAUAUUCUGGAAUGGCCCCGGCCGGACGCAUGUGCUCUUGAGAAAGGAGCUCAGGGCGCCGAGGUCCUCCGCCGCAGACUCGCUGUCCGCGUUCUCAGAGACGGCCGCCGCUCCCCAGGGGUCCAACACUACUGCCGUCCCCGGCGCGCCGCCAGGAGCCGGGUUUGAGGUCCUGAGUCCUGCUUCAUGCAGCCCAAGCUGCCCACAGGCACUCCAGCUCCACUUUAUAUUCAUGUUCGAGAACUUGUUGAUGGAAUUGAUGAAAGUGCUGAAGUUGAUCACAAUGUGGAAACAAACAAAACAAAACAAAACAAACAAAGCUUGUUCACCAAAGAGAACUGGAAGAAUUUUUGCAUGAAACAAAUCAGUUGCCUGUUUUUCCCACCUGUGCCACUUGGAGAAAAGAUAAAUAGAUCAGAAGUCAUCUUAGCUGCCUCCAUCUGAAAGGAGUGGAACUGAAGGAUGCAGUCCACGGAUGCUGGGAAUCUUUCUGUGACUUUUGUCUACCCGGUAAUGUGAAUGGAGCAGGACGUGGGCCCUGGCUGACGUUUAAGUCCUGGUUCUCGUCUCUGGACUCCCAUGCAGUUCCGGUUUCCAGCACACAAGACUUUUCUGGUAGGAAAACUAUUGAACUACAGAACACUUUUGGAGUAUCGGGGCCAAAGGGGAGGGACUGGCGUGAGGAUCAGAAAAGGGCUCUUCACAGAUCCUGUGGCAUUCUGCCUGUUGCAGCAGUGUCUGUGUGGCUGGGACGGUCGGAUCAAAUGGCAAGGGUGGCAUUCAGUGGGGAAGGCCGGCAGGGUGACAGGGGUGAAUUCAGUUACUCUCAGCCUCCUCUGAAGCCCGCCGCUUAAGUGACCCCCUUUUAGUACCUUCUGUGGUAUUGACAGAGGAGCACAAUUUGACGGGAUAAAAACCUUUUGCACUUGUAGUUAUAAAUCAAGAGAGAAAUACAAGCA
Long non-coding RNA from Physeter macrocephalus (sperm whale), 2021 nucleotides. RefSeq lists it as uncharacterized. The transcript has 3 exons. NCBI's taxonomy places the organism in Eukaryota, Metazoa, Chordata, Mammalia, Artiodactyla, Physeteridae. The record is from RefSeq and is a predicted model, not a curated record.